This 373-nucleotide ribosomal RNA is filed under the name uncultured bacterium. RNAcentral describes it as "bacterial SSU rRNA". It matches the Rfam family "Bacterial small subunit ribosomal RNA", at positions 28 to 402 of the family's 1533-position model. The record is from RNAcentral.
GACGAACGCUGGCGGCGUGCUUAACACAUGCAAGUCGAGCGGUAAGGCCCUUUCGGGGGUACACGAGCGGCGAACGGGUGAGUAACACGUGGGUGACCUGCCCUCAGCUCUGGGAUAAGCCUGGGAAACCGGGUCUAAUACCGGAUAUGACUCCAUGACGCAUGUUGUGGGGUGGAAAGCCUUGUGCGGCUGAGGAUGGGCCCGCGGCCUAUCAGCUUGUUGGUGGGGUGAUGGCCUACCAAGGCGACGACGGGUAGCUGGUCUGAGAGGACGAUCAGCCACACUGGCACUGCGACACGGGCCAGACUCCUACGGGAGGCAGCAGUAAGGAAUAUUGCGCAAUGGGCGAAAGCCUGACGCAGCGACGCCGCGU